CUUUAGUCUGAAGGUAGUGACUUAUCUCAAUUUAUUGUUCACCAUGAAGUUACAGAUUGAAUUCCUCAUUCUACUCUUCUUCCCCUUCUCAUUACUGCACUUGUCUAGACUAAU
Unclassified non-coding RNA from Saimiri boliviensis boliviensis (Bolivian squirrel monkey), 114 nucleotides. It matches the Rfam family "Y RNA". Rfam says of the family: Y RNAs are components of the Ro ribonucleoprotein particle (Ro RNP), in association with Ro60 and La proteins. The Y RNAs and Ro60 and La proteins are well conserved, but the function of the Ro RNP is not known. In humans the RNA component can be one of four small RNAs -- hY1, hY3, hY4 and hY5. The record is from Ensembl. Lineage: Eukaryota; Metazoa; Chordata; Mammalia; Primates; Cebidae.